RNAcentral lists this ribosomal RNA (253 nucleotides) under uncultured bacterium. RNAcentral's name for it is "partial 16S ribosomal RNA". It matches the Rfam family "Bacterial small subunit ribosomal RNA", at positions 524 to 776 of the family's 1533-position model. The record is from RNAcentral.
UACGUAGGGGGCUAGCGUUGUCCGGAUUUAUUGGGCGUAAAGAGCGCGUAGGCGGCCGAGUAAGUCCGACGUGAAAUCUGGAGGCUCAACCUCCAGCGGUCGUUGGAAACUACUCGGCUAGAGUCCGGAAGAGGAGAGUGGAAUUCCUGGUGUAGCGGUGAAAUGCGCAGAUAUCGGGAGGAACACCAGUGGCGAAGGCGACUACCUGGCCUGUUCUUGACCCUGAGGCGCGAAAGCUAGGGGAGCAAACGGG